UCUACGUCGGCGACCGGCGCACGGGUGCGUAACGCGUAUGCAACCUACCCAUUACAGGGGGAUAACACUGAGAAAUCGGUACUAAUACCCCAUAACAUCCAGGGAGGCAUCUUCUUGGGUUGAAAACUCCGGUGGUAAUGGAUGGGCAUGCGUUGUAUUAGUUAGUCGGUGGGGUAACGGCUCACCAAGACAACGAUACAUAGGGGGACUGAGAGGUUAACCCCCCACAUUGGUACUGAGACACGGACCAAACUCCUACGGGAGGCAGCAG
This 271-nucleotide ribosomal RNA is filed under the name uncultured bacterium. RNAcentral's name for it is "partial 16S ribosomal RNA". It matches the Rfam family "Bacterial small subunit ribosomal RNA", at positions 82 to 354 of the family's 1533-position model. The record is from RNAcentral.